RNAcentral lists this transfer RNA (67 nucleotides) under Marmota monax (woodchuck). It matches the Rfam family "tRNA". From Rfam's summary of the family: Transfer RNA (tRNA) molecules are approximately 80 nucleotides in length. Their secondary structure includes four short double-helical elements and three loops (D, anti-codon, and T loops). The record is from Rfam by way of RNAcentral. Lineage: Eukaryota; Metazoa; Chordata; Mammalia; Rodentia; Sciuridae.
GGUUGUGGCUCAAUGGUAUAGCACUCACCUGGCACAUGUGAGGCACUGGGUUCAAUUCUCAGCACCA